UACAGAGGUCCCGAGCGUUGCUCGGAUUCACUGGGCGUAAAGGGUGCGUAGGUGGCUUGGAAAGUUUGAUGUGAAAGCUCAGGGCUUAACCCUGAAAUGGCAUUGAAUACUGCUGAGCUGGAGGUUUGGAGGGGGGACUGGAAUUCUUGGUGUAGCAGUGAAAUGCGUAGAUAUCAAGAGGAACACCAGUGGCGAAGGCGAGUCCCUGGACAACACCUGACACUGAGGCACGAAAGCUAGGGGAGCAAACAGG
Molecule: ribosomal RNA, 253 nt
Filed under: uncultured bacterium
Lineage: Bacteria
Description: partial 16S ribosomal RNA
Rfam family: Bacterial small subunit ribosomal RNA
Source: RNAcentral